This 520-nucleotide ribosomal RNA is filed under the name uncultured Glomus. RNAcentral describes it as "SSU rRNA". It matches the Rfam family "Eukaryotic small subunit ribosomal RNA", at positions 569 to 1088 of the family's 1831-position model. Lineage: Eukaryota; Fungi; Glomeromycota; Glomeromycetes; Glomerales; Glomeraceae. The record is from RNAcentral.
AGCAGCCGCGGUAAUUCCAGCUCCAAUAGCGUAUAUUAAAGUUGUUGCAGUUAAAAAGCUCGUAGUUGAAUUUCGGGGUUAGUAGGUUGGUCAUGCCUCUGGUAUGUACUGGUCUCACUGAUUCCUCCUUCCUGAUGAGCCGUAAUGCCAUUAAUUUGGUGUUGCGGGGAAUUUGGACUGUUACUUUGAAAAAUUAGAGUGUUUAAAGCAAGCUAACGCUUGAAUACAUUAGCAUGGAAUAAUGAAAUAGGACGUUCGAUCCUAUUUUGUUGGUUUCUAGGAUUGACGUAAUGAUUAAUAGGGAUAGUUGGGGGCAUUAGUAUUCAAUUGUCAGAGGUGAAAUUCUUGGAUUUAUUGAAGACUAACUACUGCGAAAGCAUUUGCCAAGGAUGUUUUCAUUAAUCAAGAACGAAAGUUAGGGGAUCGAAGACGAUCAGAUACCGUCGUAGUCUUAACCAUAAACUAUGCCGACUAGGGAUCGGAUGAUGUUAAUUUUUUAAUGUACUCAUUCGGCGUACCC